Molecule: ribosomal RNA, 399 nt
Filed under: uncultured bacterium
Lineage: Bacteria
Description: bacterial SSU rRNA
Rfam family: Bacterial small subunit ribosomal RNA
Source: RNAcentral
UGAGGAAUAUUGGUCAAUGGGCGCAAGCCUGAACCAGCCAUCCCGCGUGCAGGAAGACGGCGCUAUGCGUUGUAAACUGCUUUUCCAGGGGGAGAAACUUCCGUACGUGUACGGAAUUGACGGUACCCUGGGAAUAAGCAUCGGCUAACCCCGUGCCAGCAGCCGCGGCAAUACGGAGGAUGCAAGCGUUAUCCGGAUUCAUUGGGUUUAAAGGGUUAGCGUAGGCGGACUAUUAAGUCAGUGGUGAAAUCCUGCAGCUUAACUGCAGAACUGCCAUUGAUACUGAUGGUCUUGAGUUUGGUUAAGGUAGGUCGGAAUGUGUAAUGUAGCGGUGAAAUGCUUAGAUAUUACACAGAACACCAACUUAGCGUAGGCAGCUUACUGAGCCGACACUGACGC